GACGAACGCUGGCGGCGUGCCUAAUACAUGCAAGUAGAACGCUGAAGAGAGGAGCUUGCUCUUCUUGGAUGAGUUGCGAACGGGUGAGUAACGCGUAGGUAACCUGCCUGGUAGCGGGGGAUAACUAUUGGAAACGAUAGCUAAUACCGCAUAAUAUUGACUAUUGCAUGAUAGUUGAUUAAAAGGUGCAAUUGCACCACUACCAGAUGGACCUGCGUUGUAUUAGCUAGUUGGUGGGGUAACGGCUCACCAAGGCGACGAUACAUAGCCGACCUGAGAGGGUGAUCGGCCACACUGGGACUGAGACACGGCCCAGACUCCUACGGGAGGCAGCAGUAGGGAAUCUUCGGCAAUGGACGGAAGUCUGACCGAGCAACGCCGCGUGAGUGAAGAAGGUUUUCGGAUCGUAAAGCUCUGUUGUAAGAGAAGAACGAGUGUGAGAGUGGAAAAGUUCACACUGUGACGGU
This 467-nucleotide ribosomal RNA is filed under the name Streptococcus sp. oral taxon 058. RNAcentral's name for it is "bacterial SSU rRNA". It matches the Rfam family "Bacterial small subunit ribosomal RNA", at positions 28 to 476 of the family's 1533-position model. The record is from RNAcentral. Lineage: Bacteria; Bacillati; Bacillota; Bacilli; Lactobacillales; Streptococcaceae.